Molecule: transfer RNA, 87 nt
Filed under: Anditalea andensis
Lineage: Bacteria; Pseudomonadati; Bacteroidota; Cytophagia; Cytophagales; Cytophagaceae
Description: tRNA-Leu
Rfam family: tRNA
About the family: Transfer RNA (tRNA) molecules are approximately 80 nucleotides in length.
Source: RNAcentral
GCCGGGAUGGUGGAAUAGGUAGACACGCAAGACUUAAAAUCUUGUGGCUUCACGGCCGUGCGGGUUCGAUUCCCGCUCCUGGUACAA